Molecule: ribosomal RNA, 582 nt
Filed under: uncultured bacterium
Lineage: Bacteria
Description: bacterial SSU rRNA
Rfam family: Bacterial small subunit ribosomal RNA
Source: RNAcentral
CCUACGGGAGGCAGCAGUGGGGAAUUGUUCACAAUGGGCGCAAGCCUGAUGACGCAACGCCGCGUGGGGGAUGAAGGUCUUCGGAUCGUAAACCCCUGUCGAAUGGGACGAAAGACUCGCGAGUUAAUACUUUGCGAGAGUGACGGUACCGUUAAAGGAAGCCACGGCUAACUCUGUGCCAGCAGCCGCGGUAAUACAGAGGUGGCAAGCGUUGUUCGGAAUUACUGGGCGUAAAGGGCGCGUAGGCGGCCUUCUAAGUCAGACGUGAAAUCCCCCGGCUUAACCUGGGAACUGCGUCUGAUACUGGGAGGCUUGAGUAUGGGAGAGGGAUGUAGAAUUCCAGGUGUAGCGGUGAAAUGCGUAGAUAUCUGGAGGAAUACCGGUGGCGAAGGCGGCAUCCUGGACCAUAACUGACGCUGAGGCGCGAAAGCUAGGGGAGCAAACGGGAUUAGAUACCCCGGUAGUCCCUAGCCCUAAACGAUGAAUACUUGGUGUGGCGGGUAUCGAUCCCUGCCGUGCCGAAGCUAACGCAUUAAGAUUCCGCUGGGGAUCGGUGCAAGGCUGAACUCAAAGGAUUGACGG